UAAGGAAUAUUGGUCAAUGGACGCAAGUCUGAACCAGCCAUGCCGCGUGAAGGAUGAAGGUCCUCUGGAUUGUAAACUUCUUUUAUCUGGGACGAAAACGGGAUUUUUAUCUCAAUUGACGGUACCAGAGGAAUAAGCACCGGCUAACUCCGUGCCAGCAGCCGCGGUAAUACGGAGGGUGCGAGCGUUAUCCGGAUUUACUGGGUUUAAAGGGUGCGUAGGUGGGCUUAUAAGUCAGUGGUGAAAUCUCCG
RNAcentral lists this ribosomal RNA (252 nucleotides) under uncultured bacterium. Its description in RNAcentral is "partial 16S ribosomal RNA". It matches the Rfam family "Bacterial small subunit ribosomal RNA", at positions 355 to 605 of the family's 1533-position model. The record is from RNAcentral.